This is a long non-coding RNA of Terrapene triunguis (Three-toed box turtle), 1145 nucleotides long. RefSeq lists it as uncharacterized. The record is from RefSeq and is a predicted model, not a curated record. The transcript has 3 exons. NCBI's taxonomy places the organism in Eukaryota, Metazoa, Chordata, Testudines, Emydidae.
GCGGAGGCGGCCUACGCAGCCCUGCAGGGAGCUGAAGUGGAAGGAACCAAGUUUGUGCUGCAGCUGAAGCACCCUGACCAUGCAACCCCGGCCCCUGGUCGGGCUGGCCCUGGCAAUGCCCCGCAGCCCAUGGGGAGGGAGCCGGUGCGAGUGCCCCCCACCCUGGAGUGCCAUUUCUGGCGGAACGCCGGCUGCAGCUACGGGGCCGACUGCCGUUUCCGCCACCUGCCCCAGAGCAAGGGGCUGGACAAGAAGCUGGCUCAGCACUAGGGCCCUGCCCUCCCCUGGCCCCGUCGUUGCAGGGGCCUGGAGGCCGGAUGUCCCCAGGCUGACAGCUGGCUCCUGCCUGGCCACGCUGCCUUGUGAGCACACGAGUGACUGGAUGGCCACGGUGCUGGGCCUUCCCGAGGCCCCUCCAGCUGCUGCCUGUUGCCUCCCCGUGACCCAGCGCCAGCCAGUGGGCGUCACCCCCCCGGCGUAGGGCUGGACUCGCUGCUGUGUGGAUCGGGCCCUGGCUGGCUGUGCUGCGGGUUCCCCUUCCCUAGGAAGGAGCCAUGUGAGCUGGGUGGGGCACCCUCCCAGGGGCUGCCUCGGGGUUGGUUGGCCUGGAGGGAAUGGCAGGGAGGGCUGGAAUUGCCCAGUGGGGGGGCACUGUGCCCCACACCUAUGGGGGCACUGGAGCUGGCUGCAGCCCCCUUUGCCUUAUUAUGGAGUGAGGCCUAGGGGUACUACGACUCCCAGCAUGCCCUGGAGCCAUGCUGUUGGGAUGAAGGGCAGUGUGGCAUGCUGGGAGUUGUAGUCUCCACCCCCCAGGCUGCUCUUCCAUGGCUAUUUCAUACCAAAAAUUGUCCCGGGGCAGGUUCCUCCCUCAGCCACGCUCUCUGCUUCCUGCCUUCUGAUUGGCUGAGCCCCGGGUCUGUUACACUGACUCUGCCCUGCUAGGGCCUGUCUGCGCUGCGAUGAUUUGCGCCCUCUGGGGCACCAGGCACUGGCCCCUGUCGGCAGACAGGAUACUGGGCUAGAUGGACCAUUGGCCUGACCCAGUCUGGCCCCUCUCCUGUAGCUCUUUGCGGGGGCUGGCUGGGUGGGGAGCGUGGCCCAGGGGCAGGGUCGGGCUGCGGCCCCUGUCCAUUAGAGCCACCCCC